ACAUUCUCAUCAGCAACAUUGGCUCAGAUUGCCGACUUCAGAUUCUAGAUGUUUAUCCAGAAGAUGAGGGCCAGUACACUUGCACUGCCACUAACACUGCUGGUGAAACCUCCACAAGCUGCUACAUUGCUGUUGAAGGUGCGCGGAGCGGCCAGCAUGCAAUGGUCGACUGAGGGUGCAUGGCAUGUCACACUGACACUAGCCUGUUCAUCUGUGUGCUAACCAGGACUUAACUCUGCCAUGGGUCGAAGGCCAUAUAUCAUGUUCAUAUACUGUUUAUCCAGCAUGUGUUGGUUUCAAAACGUUCUCGAAUAAUAUUCCGUAUAGCCAGCAUGUAUUGUGCCAAAUUUAAAAAAAAAUUAAGUAUGCUUCAAUGAACAUUGCUGAACAAUAUUCUCUUUUUUAAUUUUAUUAUUUUAUUUUUACUUGGGUGAGACACACAUCCCAUGAUGAAUGAUACUGUGUAACUGUGUACUUAAUGUGUCACCUAUAUAUAUUACUCAUACUUGGUAUUUCCACGACUUGUGUAUGCUUCAUUAUACAGUCUCGCCAUAGAGACUCGUCAUUCUGCAUUUCGAGUACGGUGUUAAAGGACAGAUCAUUUGUAAACAUUUUGUUAUCUUGAAAAAAAUAGUGACAUGACCAUAUGUCUUCCUGAUUAGUUUGUUUGAGGCCAAGGAUCGUGCAUAUUAUCGUAAAAUGUAUAUACAUAGAGUUCGUAAUCUUGGUCCUGUUGUGGAAGUUGUUUUUUUUUCAAAAAUAAAAUCAAGACGGUUGCA
Long non-coding RNA from Pomacea canaliculata, 779 nucleotides. RefSeq lists it as uncharacterized. The record is from RefSeq and is a predicted model, not a curated record. The transcript is spliced from 2 exons. NCBI's taxonomy places the organism in Eukaryota, Metazoa, Mollusca, Gastropoda, Architaenioglossa, Ampullariidae.